Molecule: long non-coding RNA, 1275 nt
Organism: Protopterus annectens (West African lungfish)
Lineage: Eukaryota; Metazoa; Chordata; Ceratodontiformes; Protopteridae
Exons: 2
Source: RefSeq, a predicted model, not a curated record
CUGUGAUUUCACAAUAGGCCAUUCUACUACCGACUAUGGCAGGGCAACGGUUAACCGCCAAUAAACAUUUCAUAAAAGUUUCAACGUGUUUAGGGUGGUCAUCUCAUCCGGAAAUGGGAGUUUCUCUGGUCAGGUAAGUUUGAAAUAAAAAUUGGAGGCAGGAGUUGUGAGUAGUGCCUUACUAGAAGUGAUACUGAACGCAUAAUACAUACCAGAGAAGAUGGGGAGCGAGACUUCACGGUCUAACACACACAUAGCCAACGGGACUGGGAGACGCGUGCAUAUCUUUUACAACACGGAUAAAAUGGUUCUCCAAGAAAUGCAAGUGGACAUCAGCAGCGAGGCUGAGAUCAGCAAGGCACUGCAAGGCGCGGCUGGAAGUGUGAAACUGGCCAGCAACACCAAACUGGUGUACUACAGGGACGAUCGCAUCCGAUCAUUUUACAUCCCGGCUCACGACUAUAACAAAGUGGCAGCCGAAGGCACCAUCUAUAUGACGGUUUAUUAUGAAGAUACUGGCGACAACUUAUGCCAGAACUAUCACAUUCCAUCUGACCGGUCAGUAAUUCUAACACCACCGGGCAACGUCAAGUUUCAGAAGUACGGUGCGAGUAUCUGGGAGGAUGAAUACGGAAACAUAUACAGCUGAAGCGUAGACCCAGACUGGUUUCCAAUUGCUGAGGAUGACUUCCGAUCAGUCUCUUUUCUUUACUUAACUUCAACCAAUUUACUGUGGUUUCUACAUAUUCUAAUUAGAAAUUAUAAUUCAUUGCGGUUUAGAGAUUUAUUGACUGCAACUUCACAUUCUUUACUAAUCAGUUGAUCAUUCCCGUGAUAUUUUUGUGAUUUAGUAUUUAAUCAGUAGUUAACCAAAAUCUUUAUUAAUUUGGGACAGUGCAGCGGAGCAAAUUCGUUUGCAGAAUGAACUUGGGCACAAAGUUGUCCUUUAGCAUAUUUUCUGUUUGGCAUGUGAUAGAAAACAUUUUCUUUGGAAGGUGAAGCAAAGUUCGUCUCUUUAUAUAAGUACUGCUAAUGAUAACAUCAGGAAGGACCCCGCUGAUGCGUUGUGCAGGCUGGAGCAUAAUAGUGUUAAGACUGUACUUUGUUUCCUUGCGAAUCCCUGAAAAUAAAUGUAAAGUCUGUCUAAAGAGACUCGUUGCCAGAAAACAACUAGUUCCAGGAAUUAUGAAUUUAAUCCAAAAUCACCACAUUUUAAAUGUUUCAGUUUAACAAUAAAGUUUAUAUACUUUGCCAAAUAAAAUGUUUUACCUCAAA